Molecule: ribosomal RNA, 425 nt
Filed under: uncultured bacterium
Lineage: Bacteria
Description: bacterial SSU rRNA
Rfam family: Bacterial small subunit ribosomal RNA
Source: RNAcentral
UCAGGCCUAACACAUGCAAGUCGAACGGUAACGCGGGGCAACCUGGCGACGAGUGGCGAACGGGUGAGUAAUACAUCGGAACGUGCCCAGUAGUGGGGGAUAGCCCGGCGAAAGCCGGAUUAAUACCGCAUACGACCUACGGGUGAAAGCGGGGGAUCGCAAGACCUCGCGCUAUUGGAGCGGCCGAUGUCAGAUUAGCUAGUUGGUGGGGUAAAGGCCUACCAAGGCGACGAUCUGUAGCUGGUCUGAGAGGACGACCAGCCACACUGGGACUGAGACACGGCCCAGACUCCUACGGGAGGCAGCAGUGGGGAAUUUUGGACAAUGGGGGAAACCCUGAUCCAGCCAUGCCGCGUGCGGGAAGAAGGCCUUCGGGUUGUAAACCGCUAUUGUCGGGGAAGAAACGGUCUGCGCUAUACCGCGGA